CCUACGGGAGGCUGCAGUGGGGAAUAUUGGACAAUGGGCGCAAGCCUGAUCCAGCCAUGCCGCGUGGGUGAAGAAGGCCUUCGGGUUGUAAAGCCCUUUUGUUGGGAAAGAAAAGCAAUCGGCCAAUACCCGAUUGUUCUGACGGUACCCAAAGAAUAAGCACCGGCUAACUUCGUGCCAGCAGCCGCGGUAAUACGAAGGGUGCAAGCGUUACUCGGAAUUACUGGGCGUAAAGCGUGCGUAGGUGGUGGUUUAAGUCCGUUGUGAAAGCCCUGGGCUCAACCUGGGAAUUGCAGUGGAUACUGGGUCACUAGAAUGUGGUAGAGGGUAGCGGAAUUCCUGGUGUAGCAGUGAAAUGCGUAGAGAUCAGGAGGAACAUCCGUGGCGAAGGCGGCUACCU
This 400-nucleotide ribosomal RNA is filed under the name uncultured bacterium. RNAcentral describes it as "bacterial SSU rRNA". It matches the Rfam family "Bacterial small subunit ribosomal RNA", at positions 338 to 730 of the family's 1533-position model. The record is from RNAcentral.